RNAcentral lists this ribosomal RNA (487 nucleotides) under uncultured bacterium. RNAcentral's name for it is "bacterial SSU rRNA". It matches the Rfam family "Bacterial small subunit ribosomal RNA", at positions 28 to 521 of the family's 1533-position model. The record is from RNAcentral.
AACGAACGUUGGCGGCGUGGAUUAGGCAUGCAAGUCGAACGAAUCCCUGGGGCUUGCUCCAGGGGGAAGUGGCGAAAGGGGCAGUAAGGCGUGGGUAACCUACCCCGGGGACGGGCAUAGCCGUCCUAACGGACGGGUAAUUCCUGGCGAUGUGGUCGAGAGGCAUCUCUUGACCAUGAAAUGAAUCUCGCCUCGGGAGGGGCUCACGUGAUAUCAGCUAGUUGGCGGGGUAAUGGCCCACCAAGGCAACGACGUCUAGCCGGUGUGAGAGCACGACCGGCGCCACUGGCACUGAGACACUGGCCAGACUCCUACGGGAGGCUGCAGUCGAGGAUCUUCGGCAAUGGGCGCAAGCCUGACCGAGCGACGCCGCGUGUGCGAUGAAGGCCUUCGGGUUGUAAAGCACUGUCGAGGGGGAGAAAAGCCCGCAAGGGUCUGAUCUAUCCCUGGAGGAAGCACGGGCUAAGUUCGUGCCAGCAGCCGCAGU